GCGGACGUUCCCGAGCGGUCAAAGGGGCAAGGUUCAGGGCCUUGUAGCUUAGUGCUUUCGCAGGUUCGAAUCCUGCCGUCCGCA
This 84-nucleotide transfer RNA is filed under the name Candidatus Woesearchaeota archaeon. Its description in RNAcentral is "tRNA-Leu". It matches the Rfam family "tRNA". Rfam says of the family: Transfer RNA (tRNA) molecules are approximately 80 nucleotides in length. Their secondary structure includes four short double-helical elements and three loops (D, anti-codon, and T loops). Further hydrogen bonds mediate the characteristic L-shaped molecular structure. tRNAs have two regions of fundamental functional importance: the anti-codon, which is responsible for specific mRNA codon recognition, and the 3' end, to which the tRNAs corresponding amino acid is attached (by aminoacyl-tRNA synthetases). tRNAs cope with the degeneracy of the genetic code in two manners: having more than one tRNA (with a specific anti-codon) for a particular amino acid; and 'wobble' base-pairing, i.e. permitting non-standard base-pairing at the 3rd anti-codon position. The record is from RNAcentral. Lineage: Archaea; Nanobdellati; Candidatus Woesearchaeota.